CGGGCACUUUAGGGGGACUGCCGGUGACAAGCCGGAGGAGGGUGGGGAUGACGUCAAGCCCUCAUGGCCUUUAUGACCAGGGCUACACACGUGUUACAAUGGGAGUUACAGAGGGAAGCUAAGCCGCGAGGCCAUGCCAAUCCCAGAAAAACUUUCUCAGUUCGGAUCGCAGUCUGCAACUCGACUGCGUGAAGCUGGAAUCGCUAGUAAUCGCGGAUCAGCACGCCGCGGUGAAUACGUUCCCGGGCCUUGUACACACCGCCCGUCACACCAUGGGAGCCGACAAGGGCAGAAGUCGCCGAGCUAACCUUCGGGAAGCAGGCGCCCAAGCUGUUGUUGACGACUGGGGUGAAGUCGUAACAAGGUAGCCGUAGGAGAACCUGCGGCUGGAUCACCUCCUUUCUAAGGACGCCGGGGAUGCUUUAUGCUUAUCUCCGGAUAGUCAAAGUCGAAACAGACUCUCUUCUCUUCUCUCCCUUUUCUCCUGUAAAUGCUAAGUUAUGAAUUUAGAGCAACGAAGAAAUUGAAUUCGUUACUGUGGACUCCUAAUUUCAAGAGGGGCCUGUAGCUCAGCUUGGUUAGAGCGCAUCCCUGAUAAGGAUGAGGCCGGUGGUUCAAGUCCACCCAGGCCCACCAGCUCAUUUUUGAUUUAGAUAUGGAUUUAGCGGCUAUGAUGGUGGCAAAUCUGAGGUCUGGUAAUCCAAAUCAGAUAUUAAAGAUCGGGGGAUUAGCUCAGCUGGUAGAGCGCCUGCUUUGCAAGCAGGAGGUCAGCGGUUCGACCCCGCUAUCCUCCACCAAAUUAAUGAACAGUAAAAAAAGGUGGUGCAGCUUAGCAGAAGAUAGGCUUCAGCAAUUAUUUAAUAAUUUCUGAAUUUUAUUUUUUAAUAUCUUAGACAAUUAAAUCGGAGGUUUUGGAGACACAAGAUCAAAUGUGAGGGUCUCCAAGGGUUGACGAUCUUGACUGUUAAAGUCAGGUAGUAAGGGCGCAGGGCGGAUGCCUUGGCUCUGGGAAGCGAAGAAGGACGUGGCCAGCUGCGAUAAGCCUCGGG
Molecule: small RNA, 1049 nt
Filed under: uncultured SAR324 cluster bacterium
Lineage: Bacteria; Deltaproteobacteria
Description: bacterial SSU rRNA
Rfam family: Bacterial small subunit ribosomal RNA (bases 1-402)
Source: RNAcentral